This 92-nucleotide transfer RNA is filed under the name Amborella trichopoda. Its description in RNAcentral is "tRNA AMTR_s00135t00276020". Lineage: Eukaryota; Viridiplantae; Streptophyta; Magnoliopsida; Amborellales; Amborellaceae. The record is from RNAcentral.
UCCUACUGAUGGAGAUUGGAACAAUUUCUGUCUUUGCUUCAAAUAAAGGAAAAGCAAAGAUGGAAAUUGUUCCAUCUCCAUCAGUAGGAUCC